UCUGUUUUGCAUGCAGAAGAUGUGGGUUAGUGUCCUGCAAGUCUUA
RNAcentral lists this transfer RNA (46 nucleotides) under Tylochromis polylepis. RNAcentral describes it as "partial tRNA-Ala". Lineage: Eukaryota; Metazoa; Chordata; Actinopteri; Cichliformes; Cichlidae. The record is from RNAcentral.